CGCGUAGGCGGCUUCGCUAGUCGGGCGUGAAAUGCCCGGGCUUAACCCGGGAAUUGCGUUCGAUACUUCGAGGCUAGAGUGUGGGAGAGGAUAGUGGAAUUCCCAGUGUAGAGGUGAAAUUCGUAGAUAUUGGGAAGAACACCGGUGGCGAAGGCGGCUAUCUGGACCACAACUGACGCUGAGGCGCGAAAGCGUGGGGAGCAAACAGGAUUAGAUACCCUGGUAGUCCACGCUGUAAACGAUGUGUGCUUGACGUCGGAGGGCAUAGCCCAUCGGUGUCGGAGCUAACGCGGUAAGCACACCGCCUGGGGAGUACGGUCGCAAGAUUAAA
RNAcentral lists this ribosomal RNA (331 nucleotides) under uncultured bacterium. RNAcentral's name for it is "bacterial SSU rRNA". It matches the Rfam family "Bacterial small subunit ribosomal RNA", at positions 568 to 898 of the family's 1533-position model. The record is from RNAcentral.